RNAcentral lists this ribosomal RNA (442 nucleotides) under uncultured bacterium. RNAcentral's name for it is "partial 16S ribosomal RNA". It matches the Rfam family "Bacterial small subunit ribosomal RNA", at positions 339 to 795 of the family's 1533-position model. The record is from RNAcentral.
CUACGGGUUGCAGCAGGGAAGAAUAUUGUACAAUGGGGGCAACCCUGAUACAGCAACGCCGCGUGAAGGAAGAAGGCCUUCGGGUUGUAAACUUCUGUGACAGAGGACGAAGAAGAUGACGGUACUCUGAGAGGAAGCUCCGGCAAACUACGUGCCAGCAGCCGCGGUAAUACGUAGGGGGCGAGCGUUGUCCGGAAUCACUGGGCGUAAAGGGCGCGUAGGCGGCCAUAUAAGUUGAAUGUGAAAUCCCAGGGCUCAACCCUGGACGUGCAUUCAAAACUGUAUGGCUUGAGUAUGGUAGAGGUAAGUGGAAUUCCUAGUGUAGCGGUGGAAUGCGUAGAUAUUAGGAGGAACACCAGUGGCGAAGGCGACUUACUGGGCCAAAACUGACGCUGAGGCGCGAAAGCGUGGGGAGCAAACAGGAUUAGAUACCCUAGUAGUC